UAGACACAACACGCAGCAGCUCCUCUCUGGAGGACCCUCACAUUGGAGUCCAUGUGAACUCUUAAUAGAGUCUGAAGUGGGUGCAUUUCAGGGAAAUUCACUUGACAGUUGCAGAGAAACAUAGCAGGUUUGAUAACCUCCAAGUUCCUGGCCCUUCACAUCACAGAGGACCUCAUAUGGACCCUUACACCCCAUUCUCACCACGUUCAACAGAGGAACCAUUAGAGCAUUUUCGAAAGUGUCAACAGCAGCGCGGUUCGGUAAUCGCCCCUGUCUCUCCACUCUGUCAGACAUCUACAACACGUGUUGCCUGUGCAAGGCCAGAAGCAUUGUGGGUGACCCAUCACACACCUGCCAUGAACUCUUCUCUGUGCUGCCUUCUGGCAGGAGGCUUCACAAAUUAGGAAUAUGUGUCUUGUGUUAUGUCUGUGAAUACAACAGCAAACAUAACCUGCACAAAGGUGCAACUUUGCUGCUGCUACUGAAUUCAGUUCAGUAUCUACCUCCCUACUGUAUAUGCUCACUAAAGUAUGUGUCAUAUGCACACCUCCAAGUCUUUUAAGCUCUGGCUGUCUGUUGUUUUUGUCAAAACGAACUGUACUUUAUCAUUUGUUUGCACAAUGUUUAAUGUUUCAUGUAACACCAUGGUCCUUGGCAAAACACUGUCUCGUUUCACUGCAUAUUGUGUAUAUGGUUGAAAUGACAAUA
Larimichthys crocea (large yellow croaker) is the source of this 708-nucleotide long non-coding RNA. RefSeq lists it as uncharacterized. The transcript has 3 exons. The record is from RefSeq and is a predicted model, not a curated record. Lineage: Eukaryota; Metazoa; Chordata; Actinopteri; Sciaenidae.